GACGAACGCUGGCGGCGUGCUUAACACAUGCAAGUCGAACGGAAAGGCCCUGCUUUUGUGGGGUGCUCGAGUGGCGAACGGGUGAGUAACACGUGAGUAACCUGCCCUUGACUUUGGGAUAACUUCAGGAAACUGGGGCUAAUACCGGAUAGGAGCUCCUGCUGCAUGGUGGGGGUUGGAAAGUUUCGGCGGUUGGGGAUGGACUCGCGGCUUAUCAGCUUGUUGGUGGGGUAGUGGCUUACCAAGGCUUUGACGGGUAGCCGGCCUGAGAGGGUGACCGGCCAGAUUGGAACUGAGAUACGGACCAGACUCCUACGGGAGGCAGCAGUGGCGAAUAUUGCACAAUGGGCGGAAGCCUGAGGCAGCAACGCCGCGUGCGGGAUGACGGCCUUCGGGUUGUAAACCGCUUUCGGCUGUGACGAAGCGUAAGUGACGGUAAUGGGUAAAGAAGCACCGGCUAACUACGUG
RNAcentral lists this ribosomal RNA (468 nucleotides) under uncultured bacterium. Its description in RNAcentral is "partial 16S ribosomal RNA". It matches the Rfam family "Bacterial small subunit ribosomal RNA", at positions 28 to 507 of the family's 1533-position model. The record is from RNAcentral.